AGAACCCUUUUUGUAACCGCUUCGGCGCCCUUCCCAGACCGAUCUCGGGGCUCAAAAUCUCGAUCGGUGAGCGAGGGAUCGUUUUCUUCGAUUUAGAUAUCUUAUUCUGUUCCUCCAGCAGCUGUGGUGGCAAUGGUGACUUCCCCCAACCAUCCAGAGCCAACAUUCACUUGCCUCCCACAAGCGCCAGCAGUCCCAUUCCAUAGAUUGGUUCAUGAUAGACCCAUUGCCAGGCCAUAUCUCAGCAGCCACACUCCUCUGACUUCCACCGCAGAUCUCUUGUGACUUGAAUGGUGUGUCCUUUUGUCUUCUUUACCUUUUCUUAUCCAAAAGCAUGAUACAGAUCUAAACUUAGUCUCACCUUCUGCUAUAUAUCAUUGCUCUUAUUGUUAUUGUCUGUGGAACAAUCAAAGCACUGGCAGGGUGAAUAAUCUUGACAGUUUUGCCAGUGUUCUUGGUAUAUAUGAUGCAUAGUCAGCAUAGCAAAGAUUUCUCGUGAGGAACACACAUAAAAGUUAAUUCGCGGAAAGGUGAAUUUUGUUUUACCACUGGAGACAGGUUCAUAUGCCUAAUACAUUGGAGAGGUUAUGAGGCGUGCAGUUGUCUAACCAGUCUUCAUCUUGUACAGCUUUUGACCAUGAAAAGGAUGGUUCUUGGCGUGCUCAUUUGAUUAUUUUUGUUUGAAAUUUCUACAGCAGCAUGAUGUUGUUGGCAGGAAAGAAGCAUUAUGUUAAACAUUCAUGAGACUAGGAAAGGAUAGGUUAAGAAACAUAUUAGAGAGGAGAACCAAAAGAGAGACUAAGAAAAAAGGACAAUCAUUCAGUGGUACAACCUUUUCUCGGCUUGUUUAUAAUUCAUGGAGGCAAAUUUGGGAUUCA
Non-coding RNA from Musa acuminata subsp. malaccensis (wild Malaysian banana), 878 nucleotides. NCBI's taxonomy places the organism in Eukaryota, Viridiplantae, Streptophyta, Magnoliopsida, Zingiberales, Musaceae. The record is from RefSeq and is a predicted model, not a curated record.